Molecule: unclassified non-coding RNA, 697 nt
Filed under: Hevea brasiliensis (rubber tree)
Lineage: Eukaryota; Viridiplantae; Streptophyta; Magnoliopsida; Malpighiales; Euphorbiaceae
Source: RNAcentral
UCUCUCCUUAUGGCUUGUCCAACGUUCCAACUUUGAGCGUCCUCUUCUCGAAUCUUGUAGUUCAUCAUCAGACGAUGCAUCUUCCUUGCGUCUUUUGGGAGAGUUGAGUUGCACUGCAAUAUCAUUCUCCACAUUUCCUUUCUCAGCCACACCAUUCAACCCCUAAGCAAGCAGAAACAAUCAAGAACAACCAAGCUAAACUCAGGGAUACUCUCCACAUGAACAAGUGGUCAGAAUCAGAUCAGCUUGUGCUCUACCUUAAUGGCAGUAACUAAGAAACGAAGUACAUGUAUCACAUUUAAAUUUUAACGACCUCAUUGCAAACUCUUGUACAAAUGGUGAACAAAAAUUAAAUGAAAAUAGCUUCCCCACAAAAAGAACAAAAAUCUAGUUUAUACUCCCAUUGCGAGCUCAAUUUAUGGCCAUCUUAACUACCAAAAUGGCUAUGAAUGCCUAAGUGGGAAUUUAAGAUUUGCCCUGCUGCUAGCCCAAGCACCUAAAAUCUCCAAUCUACCUGUUAUCGAUCAGAUAUUGAGAUUUCAUUCACCACACGUGUUGCCCCACAAAAACCCAUACAGAUACAACUCUAAAAGCAAUUUGUCAUCUUUGCAAUAAAGGUUAUCACCAUUAUAUAAACUACUGCACUGAUAAUUAUCAAACAUAAAGGAAAAGAAGGGGUAGAGAGAGAGAGAGAGAG